UUGCGGCUGGAUCACCUCCUUUCUAAGGAUUUGGCCGAAAGCGCCGAUGCUAGCCAUCGGAAGUGCUUCGUCCGUUCCAAAGAACAUUGCCGUCGUCCUCAUGUCCCUUCAUCCUGGAGAUCAACACAGAUUGCUGUGUUGUAGCCUGAGCUGGCUCACGCCGCCCGCGGCAGCCCCCUUUCGAGGAGGCGGUCAGCGAUGGCAUGGUGGGGGCCGGUAGCUCAGGUGGUUAGAGCGCACGCCUNGGGGGNGGGNNGGGGGGGGGGGNGGCCGNGGGGNGGGGGGNGGGGGGGGGGNGGCCU
This 302-nucleotide unclassified non-coding RNA is filed under the name uncultured Pseudomonadota bacterium. Its description in RNAcentral is "uncultured proteobacterium partial 16S-23S ribosomal RNA intergenic spacer". Lineage: Bacteria; Pseudomonadati; Pseudomonadota. The record is from RNAcentral.